Molecule: transfer RNA, 79 nt
Filed under: Blumeria hordei DH14
Lineage: Eukaryota; Fungi; Ascomycota; Leotiomycetes; Helotiales; Erysiphaceae
Also listed under: 1 other name
Description: tRNA-Lys for anticodon CUU
Rfam family: tRNA
About the family: Transfer RNA (tRNA) molecules are approximately 80 nucleotides in length. Their secondary structure includes four short double-helical elements and three loops (D, anti-codon, and T loops).
Source: Rfam by way of RNAcentral
GCCCGGGUAGCUCAAUCGGUAGAGCGUGUGGCUCUUACAGAAAACCUCAAGGUCGCGGGUUCGAGCCCCGCCUCGGGCU